This 428-nucleotide long non-coding RNA is filed under the name Mytilus galloprovincialis (Mediterranean mussel). Lineage: Eukaryota; Metazoa; Mollusca; Bivalvia; Mytilida; Mytilidae. The record is from RNAcentral.
UGCCCGCUAGACAUGUACACUUAACAAUCAUUCCAUACAACAAAUAUAGUAGACCUAUUGCAUAUGGUAUGAGAAAAACAGACCAAAACACAAAAAUUUAACUAUAACCACUGAACCAUGAAAAUGAGGUCAAGGUCAGAUGACACCUGCCAGUUGGACAUGUACACCUUAAAGUCCUUCCAUACACCGAAUAUACUAGCCCUAUUGCUUAUAGUAUCUGAGAUAUGGACUUGACCACCAAAACUUAACCUUGUUCACUGAUCCAUGAAAUGAGGUCGAGGUCAAGUGAAAACUGUCUGACAGACACGAGGACCUUGCAAGGUACGCACAUAUCAAAUAUAGUUAUCCUAUUACUAAUAAUAAGAGAGAAUUCAACAUUACAAAAAAUUUGAACUUUUUUUUCAAGUGGUCACUGAACCAUGAAAAUG